GCGCUUAAGGUCGCCGUCCUUUGGACGGUGAUCGGUGUAGCGUAUAGAGUUCUCGUUCGACGGUUGGUGACUGGUCUAAGUUCUGCUGGAAAGCAAUGGCAUAGACGGUUUUACCCCGGUAUGGCCGGUUGCCGCUGUCGAAUGGUUGCUCUUGGAGUCGGGUUGUUUGGUAACGCAGCCCAAAGCGGGUGGUAAACUUCACCUAAGGCUAAAUACGACCGCGAGACCGAUAGCAUACAAGUACCGUGAGGGAAAGUUGAAAAGUACUUUGAAAAGAGAGUGCAAAAGAACGUGAAACCGGUGUAAUGGAAGCAUAUGGAGUUGUCGUAUCUGGUGUGUGUUCAGCUGUCGGGCGUGUCGAUUGCUGGGUUUGGCAUUCCGCAAGGUUGUCGGCUCGGUAUUGUCGGUGCGUUCGGCGGUGCAUUCACGCACGGAGUGCGCCGAGUCGCGUGGCGCUGUCGAUCGAAGCGCGUUAAGAGGACUUGCCUUCGGGCGAGAACCCUUGGCGUGUGUAGGUGGGUUGGUGCUGCGUGAUUUCGUGGAGGCACGGGCUUACGCGCCGUCAGGCGGCGAUUGUAGUGGUUUGCGUUGGACACAUGUGUACUGCGCUUAUGAUUGCGGUCGUCGUCGGGCGGUGCUCUGUGCUCUUCUCGGUGUAUAGACAAUGACCCAUUUGACCCGUCUUGAAACACGGACCAAGGAGUUUAUGGUAUACGCGAGUCAUUGGGCUUCCAAACCCAUAGGCGCAAUGAAAGUGAGAUCUUAUUGGUUUUAAUGUGAUCGUUGGUUGUUUCGACGGCCGGCGAGCAACAUUGCCCCGUUUCGAGGACUUGUCCUGUUGCGGAGGUUGAGCGUAUGCUAUGAGACCCGAAAGAUGGUGAACUAUGCCUGAGCAGGAUGAAGCCAGAGGAAACUCUGGUGGAAGUCCGAAGCGGUUCUGACGUGCAAAUCGAUCGUC
This 958-nucleotide ribosomal RNA is filed under the name Bursaphelenchus sp. YF-2020. RNAcentral describes it as "partial large subunit ribosomal RNA". It matches the Rfam family "Eukaryotic large subunit ribosomal RNA", at positions 112 to 906 of the family's 3401-position model. Lineage: Eukaryota; Metazoa; Nematoda; Chromadorea; Rhabditida; Aphelenchoididae. The record is from RNAcentral.